CAUGGGUGCCUUUUUUUCUGCUGCUGCCUCUUUUCAUCAAUUUUCAUUAUUCACACCCAGUCUUAGCCAUGUCUGAGUUCAACAAAGAUGUGAAGCGUUUUGGAGAAUGUGUAAAGGUAAGGUGGAAUACUUCUGAUCAGAUAUUGUUAUAUUAUACAUAAUAUAUCAUUGUGAGGUAUUCAAUGUCCUGCUUUUUACACUGUCACCAAAUAUGCUUAUUUCUUUUCUUCAUGUUGUAAUUUUGAAGCGGAAUGUUUUCACUAUUCCUUAAGCUUCAGUGAUUGCUUUCUUCAAUUUCAUUAUUAUUAUUGACCUUCAGCUCCUUUAUACAGGCUAACAAUGUAACCAGCUGUUGAUAGUUGGUGAAUUAGUGUGUGUGUGUGUGUGUGUGUGUGUGUGUGUGUGUGUGCGUGUGCGUGUGUGUGUGUGUGUGCUACGUGGCAUCUUUGUCAAUGUUGGGACAUUUGGCAUCUUGUUGGUCGACUAGCUAUCUGAUUGCCGAUGCCUCUGGUGUGACAUUGUUUCUUGCUUGGUUUGACAGAAGUGUAACGACACCUGCAGCUCAGCUCACAUUACUUCAUCUCCUCAGGAUAUAAUGUGCCAGUGUUUAAACUUCAGUGUGUCACAAGGGGAAUAUGGAUUUCUUAAUCAUUCCAUUGCUGGUCUCAAGUCCCUGCACCCAAAUAAUUCCUGCCAUAAUUCUAUUGAACCUCUGAUCUCUCAUCUGGAAGUAAUGGUGCCAUCAGAUCUGAGAUAUAUGAAGUGUUUUCUGCAUGAGAAAUAUGAGCCUUUCAUAUCACCAAAAAGCUUCCAUAAGAAACUGGAUUCCAUAAAGGAGUGCAUCAACAGCAACAUGAAUUAAGCUCAAUGAUCCGAUCCAGGAAAAGUGGAUCGUGGACCUCUAAUAAUGCCAUGGACAUCCUCAUUCUCAACAUCUGAUAUUCAGCUAUGACCCACGGCAUCAAUGACAGAAUGAUGGCAAUCAUCAGUUUGAUAACUGAAAUCUUUAAAGAAUAUUUCUCUAAUUUAUUUUCUAUAUUUUAAAAUUAUGUGGGUACAACCAUUGUGUUAAGUGAUCAUUCACAGAAGCACUGUUUUUAUUUUAUAUGUGAUGUUAAAAAGAAAUGUCAGAAGAACUUAUGUUAGACAACUUUGAAAGUUUUAUAGUACCAUCUAAAUGUAUAGGUUACCUCAAACACUGUCUCUUCUAGAAACCAUAUCUUGAUGGUAUCACGUUGCCCACACCGCCUGUCAACAGCAUUUUUUGGAUUGCAAUCUAUUUGUUAAUAAUAAUCUAUUUGUGAUAACAUUGAUGCUGAACAUAAAAUGUUCAGUUUGCAAAUGUAUGUUUUUGACCUAAUAUUUAUUUUGUUUAUUAUUCUGUCAGUGAAGACAUCAGAUAAACUUCUGUGGCUGUUAUUUGCCUCCAAAUGGCGUGAACUGUGAACAUUUGAACUUAUAAAAUGUAGU
Molecule: long non-coding RNA, 1470 nt
Organism: Scophthalmus maximus (turbot)
Lineage: Eukaryota; Metazoa; Chordata; Actinopteri; Pleuronectiformes; Scophthalmidae
Exons: 4
Source: RefSeq, a predicted model, not a curated record